RNAcentral lists this ribosomal RNA (423 nucleotides) under uncultured bacterium. Its description in RNAcentral is "bacterial SSU rRNA". It matches the Rfam family "Bacterial small subunit ribosomal RNA", at positions 355 to 774 of the family's 1533-position model. The record is from RNAcentral.
UGAGGAAUAUUGGUCAAUGGGCGCGAGCCUGAACCAGCCAAGUAGCGUGAAGGAUGAAGGUCCUAUGGAUUGUAAACUUCUUUUAUAGCGGAAUAAAGUGACCCACGUGUGGGUUUUUGUAUGUAUGCUAUGAAUAAGGAUCGGCUAACUCCGUGCCAGCAGCCGCGGUAAUACGGAGGAUCCGAGCGUUAUCCGGAUUUAUUGGGUUUAAAGGGUGCGUAGGCGGAAAGAUAAGUCAGCCUGUGAAAGUUUGCGGCUCAACCGUAAAAUUGCAGUUGAUACUGUUUUUCUUGAGUGUACAUAAGGUAGGCGGAAUUCGUGGUGUAGCGGUGAAAUGCUUAGAUAUCACGAAGAACUCCGAUUGCGAAGGCAGCUUACCGGGGUACAACUGACGCUGAUGCACGAAAGUGUGGGUAUCAAACA